Molecule: ribosomal RNA, 301 nt
Filed under: uncultured bacterium
Lineage: Bacteria
Description: partial 16S ribosomal RNA
Rfam family: Bacterial small subunit ribosomal RNA
Source: RNAcentral
CAGCCGCCGCGGGAAUACGUAGGGGGCAAGCGUUAUCCGGAAUUAUUGGGCGUAAAGAGUACGUAGGUGGCUAUAUAAGCGCAUGGUGAAAGGCAGAGGCUUAACCACUGUUAGCCUUGCGAACCGUAUAGCUUGAGUGCAGGAGAGGGAAGCGGAAUUCCUAGUGUAGCGGUGAAAUGCGUAGAUAUUAGGAGGAACACCAGUGGCGAAGGCGGCUUUCUGGACGACAACUGACGCUGAGGCGCGAAAGCCAGGGGAGCAAACGGGAUUAGAUACCCCUGUAGUCCCUGUCUCUUAUACA